GACGAACCACACAAACGUUAUUCGGAAUUACUGGGCUUAAAGGGUGCGUAGGCUGUGCGGAAAGUUGGGUGUGAAAUCCCCCGGCUCAACCGGGGAAUUGCGCCCAAAACUACCGUGCUUGAGGAAGACAGAGGUGAGCGGAACUUCGGGUGGAGCGGUGAAAUGCGUUGAUAUCCGAAGGAACACCGGUGGCGAAGGCAGCCCCCUGGGAUAACACUGACGCUCAUGCACGAAAGCGUGGGGAGCAAACAGG
RNAcentral lists this ribosomal RNA (253 nucleotides) under uncultured bacterium. RNAcentral's name for it is "partial 16S ribosomal RNA". It matches the Rfam family "Bacterial small subunit ribosomal RNA", at positions 524 to 776 of the family's 1533-position model. The record is from RNAcentral.